UUCCUUCCUCCUUCCUUCCUUCCUUCCUUCUUCCUUUUCUUCCUUCCUUUUUUCUUCCUUCCUUCCUUCCUUCCUUCUUCCUUUUCUUCCUUUUUUCUUCUCCUUCCUUCCUUCCUUCUUCCUUUUCUUCCUUCCUUUUUUUCUUCCUUCCUUCCUUUUUUCCUUCUUCCUUCCUUUCCAGACACAGUUGUACUGUAAGGGGAGAAUAUUCUGCAGUAUUUAAAAGAAUUAUUAUUUACUUUCAUUCACAUGGUUAGUGUAUGGUUUUUAAGGUUUAAGGAUUUCCCAAAGGUUGUAUAAGGGAAGCACUGCCUUCUGCAUGGACAACUGGUGUGCCCCAUGUGGUGUUUCCCCAUUUCACAGCAGAGCCACUUAGAUGCACAUUCAGGAACUAGCAAGUCACUAAGUCACACGACAACUUGG
Molecule: long non-coding RNA, 423 nt
Filed under: Rattus norvegicus (Norway rat)
Lineage: Eukaryota; Metazoa; Chordata; Mammalia; Rodentia; Muridae
Description: long non-coding RNA NONRATT023894
Source: RNAcentral